RNAcentral lists this ribosomal RNA (503 nucleotides) under uncultured bacterium. Its description in RNAcentral is "bacterial SSU rRNA". It matches the Rfam family "Bacterial small subunit ribosomal RNA", at positions 15 to 518 of the family's 1533-position model. The record is from RNAcentral.
GAUCCUGGCUCAGGAUGAACGCUGGCGGCGUGCCUAACACAUGCAAGUCGAGCGGGAAUCUCCUGAUUGAAACUUCGGUAGAUAGACGGGGAGGAUAGCGGCGGACGGGUGAGUAACGCGUAGGUAAGCUGCCCUAUGCACAGGGAUAGCCUAGGGAAACCUGGAUUAAUACCUGAUGACGCUGCGAGGUCACAUGGCCAUGCAGCCAAAGUUUUUUCGGCAUAGGAUGCACCUGCGUCUGAUUAGCUAGUUGGUGAGGUAACGGCCCACCAAGGCGACGAUCAGUAGCCGACCUGAGAGGGUGAUCGGCCACAUUGGAACUGAGACACGGUCCAAACUCCUACGGGAGGCAGCAGUGAGGAAUAUUGCACAAUGGGGGGAACCCUGAAUGCAGCAACGCCGCGUGAGCGAAGAAGGUCUUCGGAUCGUAAAGCUCUGUCCUAAGGGACGAUAAUGACGGUACCUUAGGAGGAAGCCCCGGCUAACUACGUGCCAGCCGCGGC